GACGAACGCUGGCGGCGUGCCUAAUACAUGCAAGUUGAGCGCUGAAGGUUGGUACUUGUACCGACUGGAUGAGCAGCGAACGGGUGAGUAACGCGUGGGGAAUCUGCCUUUGAGCGGGGGACAACAUUUGGAAACGAAUGCUAAUACCGCAUAAAAACUUUAAACACAAGUUUUAAGUUUGAAAGAUGCAAUUGCAUCACUCAAAGAUGAUCCCGCGUUGUAUUAGCUAGUUGGUGAGGUAAAGGCUCACCAAGGCGAUGAUACAUAGCCGACCUGAGAGGGGGAUCGGCCACAUUGGGACUGAGACACGGCCCAAACUCCUACGGGAGGCAGCAGUAGGGGAUCUUCGGCAAUGGACGAAAGUCUGACCGAGCAACGCCGCGUGAGUGAAGAAGGUUUUCGGAUCGUAAAACUCUGUUGGUAGAGAAGAACGUUGGUGAGAGUGGAAAGCUCAUCAAGUGACGGUAACUACCCAGAAAGGGACGGCUAACUACGUG
This 497-nucleotide ribosomal RNA is filed under the name uncultured bacterium. Its description in RNAcentral is "partial 16S ribosomal RNA". It matches the Rfam family "Bacterial small subunit ribosomal RNA", at positions 28 to 507 of the family's 1533-position model. The record is from RNAcentral.